Varroa destructor (honeybee mite) is the source of this 2708-nucleotide non-coding RNA. The record is from RefSeq and is a predicted model, not a curated record. NCBI's taxonomy places the organism in Eukaryota, Metazoa, Arthropoda, Arachnida, Mesostigmata, Varroidae.
CCUAUGCAUGGUUUACAGUAUGAAAAAUCUAGAUCAAGCGCAAGACGUGCCUUUAUCGGUUCACACAAGCUAUGCUCAACUCGGAUCUAUGAGCUCUCACGAGACUUCCGUAGCGUGUUUGUUCGCAUUUCUACUUUUAUUGUGGUUUUUUAGGGAACCAGGCUUUAUCUCGGGCUGGACUGCCUUAGUCUCUAAAUAAGUUACGCAACAUUAGGGAUGUGAAGGACUCGAUUCUAGCAUAUGUCCUCGUAUUAUGUUUCCUGUGCCACGUGACCCCACCAAAUGGGCAACAUCGCCUGCAAUUCUGGUUAUUCAUGAGGAGGCGCUCUCAUCUGUCGUAUUCCUUAUUGGCGGGUCGAUGGCUCUCAGCGAUGGAGUCCAGGUCUCUAGCCUAUCAACAUGGAUAGGUGACCAAAUGGGUUGGCUACAAGAUGUACCACCGGUGCCUUUGGCCUUCCUCGUGUUACUCACGGCUAUGUGCCUCACAAAGGUGGCCUUAAACACACCAACCUGCUCCGUUUUACUGCCGGAUGAAAUUGUACUAAAAGCUUUUAAUCACUUAAUAGCGUUGAUUCCUCAAGUUCGUCUAGUGAGAUAAAGCAAAAAUCCCACAUGCGUGCGUUAUGGCUUCUUGUUAAGGAACGCGGGUGCCCAUUCCCUAUUGAUACUACUGCCCGUAGCCUUCUGCUGCUCGGACGCGUCCGUGUUUUCGGUGGCCACUGCGCCCAAUGCGAUUAUUGCCGAUAGUUCCGGAAUGACGACAUACGAAAUGGUUGGCGUCAAGAAUAAUUAUUCUUAUAAUGUAGCUACACAGCGCCGGAUACAAGUCAAAGCGUACCUAGUAGCAGAACAACAAACGACUGGAUGUAUGUCUGUAAUUUUCCUUCUUACGCCGAAACUUCAGGCACGAUCAGGUUUAAUUAUGAAGCUGAUCUGUCUGACAACUCUAAUGAUAUUUACGUUGGUCAUCGUUCCACUAAUUUUCAACGUCAACGAUCUAAGCAGUAUCGAUUUCGACCGCUAAAUCAGCGGCUAAAUGGAUGGCGUGAACGGUCGUCUGCAUAAUUUCGUAAAUGGAAGUAAGCAAAGUUGGGAUUAUCGGCAGGGUGCAAGCAAUCGGCUGUUCUAGAAAUGCAGAAUGGAAAACAAAUCUGUGUUUGUGCAGUUUUACAAAAUUAUACAUAAAAUGAUGUUGUUGGUCUAAGCAUAAGGUUAAACAAUUAUUCCUUUGUGUGGUAAUAUUAAAAUACUUAGUUGCCGAUUAAACGUGAUACACCAAAUUAGAUUAUGGCGAGACGUAUAAACAUGAGAUAUAGCAUCAAAGUAAGGAAGUGUUGAGUACUAUUUUUGCACAUUGUUUGAUGCAUUAUCGAACCCAUCGUUGCUCUCAAAAGCAGAGCGAGUCGGAAAUAACUUCAUUUCACGUACUUAAAGUUACUACUGUUGUCAUAUUCGAAAGCUAUACAUGAGCAGAACUGACAACCUGUGAAGCGGACAAGGCUCAGUUGGUCUAUUAUUAUCAGGUUUGUCCUGCAAACUCUACAAUACACUAUUUUCCUACUCAAAAAAGCUAGCGUAACUCUUAGGUAGCGCUAGCUAACGAUUUGAUUUUCUACGUUGUACCAUCGCUUACUAUGUUGGCGAUUGUUUGCAUCUGCCGUUGUGUUGCAUAGUAAUCUACGAGGCGUCGUGCUCGAAGUUGGCAGCCAAAUCGGUAAAUACGCAGGAUGUUACCGCUUUGUCGAUACUACGUGUCGUUUCGGGGGUAGUUUCAGUAAAUGUUUGAACGGGGGUGGUAAAUAAUUAAGCGCACACUCCAUAGAGUAUCGGUGCUGCGGCCUGAUUCGUUAGGCGCGAUUUGUAGAUGAUAACGAAAUGUCAGUUGUGUUGAAUAUUGUGAAAACUCUUUCCGCGACAAAGGGAAAAGCUACGAAACGCUAAGCCUUUAGACAAAUGAAAGGAUAACAAAAAAAUAAGAGAAGAAUGAUUGAGCUGAUCCGAAAAAUACACAGAAAUUUAGCGUCUUUAUUAAAAUACGUGAGUGUCUUUUUCCACUGGAUUACGCAGACCCGGAUGCCGCGCAUUCAUUUACAUUGUCUAUAAUUAAAUUUAUCCUUUUCACUGAAAAACAGUCUGACAUAUAUUUUGUAUCAUUUACAUAUCGUUACCCAGCGACUCUCACUCUGCUUCACCCGGAGACGUAAACAGGUAGUAAAUUGUUUUAUGAAUAUUUGUUGAUGUAGUGAAUGUUCUAAUAUGUCUUAAUACAGAAUUGGAAUCUCUCAAUCCUAGCUUCGCCAAAGGUUUAAUCUGAUGCCCGUAAAAAAUAGCCCAUGGUGAUUAAGCGGAACUGCGCAGUACAACUAUGUUAAUCACUCAAAUAAUUAGAAAAACAUUACAUCCUAAACUUAGAUUUCACAGUUGCCGACUCUGAUGUCCUACCUAUCCGCUUAACUUCGGCAGUAAACGGCAGACAGCACACCAGAGAUCCUACAUUGUCACAGUAAUCUAGAAGUUCUAGCGUACUUUCAAGAAACAGGCGUAACGAAAUAUCCCUGCAACCCUUUAAAUUGUGUUACACAGCUCGUAUUCUAGCUAUUUAAAAUUAAUUGAAGAACUUACAUGUAGAAUUCAUGAAGACCUUGGUAUUAAACAACAAAACCAGCAGCCUGGUCACUUUUACUGAGUCUUUAGAAGUACUUAACGGA